UGGGGAAUUUUGGACAAUGGGCGAAAGCCUGAUCCAGCCAUGCCGCGUGCAGGAAGAAGGCCUUCGGGUUGUAAACUGCUUUAGUCUAGGAAAAAGGGAUGCCCGGUUAAUACCUGGGUGUUUUGAUGGUACUGGAAGAAUAAGCACCGGCUAACUACGUGCCAGCAGCCGCGGUAAUACGUAGGGUGCAAGCGUUAAUCGGAAUUACUGGGCGUAAAGCGUGCGCAGGCGGUCUUGUAAGACAGUCGUGAAAUCCCCGGGCUUAACCUGGGAACUGCGAUUGUGACUGCAAGGCUAGAGUGUGUCAGAGGGGGGUGGAAUUCCACGUGUAGCAGUGAAAUGCGUAGAGAUGUGGAGGAACACCGAUGGCGAAGGCAGCCCCCUGGGAUAACACUGACGCUCAUGCACGAAAGCGUGGGGAGCAAACA
RNAcentral lists this ribosomal RNA (428 nucleotides) under uncultured bacterium. Its description in RNAcentral is "partial 16S ribosomal RNA". It matches the Rfam family "Bacterial small subunit ribosomal RNA", at positions 355 to 774 of the family's 1533-position model. RNAcentral also lists the same sequence under 1 other name. The record is from RNAcentral.